AGUGAACGCUGGCGGUAGGCCUAACACAUGCAAGUCGAACGGCAGCACAGUAAGCGCUUGCUCUUACGGGUGGCGAGUGGCGGACGGGUGAGGAAUACAUAGGAAUCUACUUUUUCGUGGGGGAUAACGUAGGGAAACUUACGCUAAUACAGCAUACGACCUACGGGUGAAAGCAGGGGAUCUUCGGACCUUGCGCGAUUGAAUGAGCCGAUGUCGGAUUAGCUAGUUGGCGAGGUAAAGGCCCACCAAGGCGACGAUCCGUAGCUGGUCUGAGAGGAUGAUCAGCCACACUGGAACUGAGACACGGUCCAGACUCCUACGGGAGGCAGCAGUGGGGAAUAUUGGACAAUGGGCGCAAGCCUGAUCCAGCCAUACCGCGUGGGUGAAGAAGGCCUUCGGGUUGUAAAGCCCUUUUGUUGGGAAAGAAAAGCAGCAGGUUAAUACCCCGCUGUUCUGACGGUACCCAAAGAAUAAGCACCGGCUAACUUCGUG
This 492-nucleotide ribosomal RNA is filed under the name uncultured bacterium. Its description in RNAcentral is "partial 16S ribosomal RNA". It matches the Rfam family "Bacterial small subunit ribosomal RNA", at positions 29 to 507 of the family's 1533-position model. The record is from RNAcentral.